RNAcentral lists this ribosomal RNA (806 nucleotides) under uncultured bacterium. RNAcentral describes it as "bacterial SSU rRNA". It matches the Rfam family "Bacterial small subunit ribosomal RNA", at positions 1 to 815 of the family's 1533-position model. The record is from RNAcentral.
GAAUUCGCCCUUAGAGUUUGAUCCUGGCUCAGGACGAACGCUGGCGGCGCGCCUAACACAUGCAAGUCGAACGAGCGAGAGAGAGCUUGCUUUCUCGAGCGAGUGGCGAACGGGUGAGUAACGCGUGAGGAACCUGCCUCAAAGAGGGGGACAACAGUUGGAAACGACUGCUAAUACCGCAUAAGCCCACGGCUCGGCAUCGAGCAGAGGGAAAAGGAGCAAUCCGCUUUGAGAUGGCCUCGCGUCCGAUUAGCUAGUUGGUGAGGUAACGGCCCACCAAGGCGACGAUCGGUAGCCGGACUGAGAGGUUGAACGGCCACAUUGGGACUGAGACACGGCCCAGACUCCUACGGGAGGCAGCAGUGGGGAAUAUUGCACAAUGGGGGAAACCCUGAUGCAGCGACGCCGCGUGGAGGAAGAAGGUCUUCGGAUUGUAAACUCCUGUUGUUGAGGAAGAUAAUGACGGUACUCAACAAGGAAGUGACGGCUAACUACGUGCCAGCAGCCGCGGUAAAACGUAGGUCACAAGCGUUGUCCGGAAUUACUGGGUGUAAAGGGAGCGCAGGCGGGAAGACAAGUUGGAAGUGAAAUUCAUGGGCUCAACCCAUGAACUGCUUUCAAAACUGUUUUUCUUGAGUAGUGCAGAGGUAGGCGGAAUUCCCGGUGUAGCGGUGGAAUGCGUAGAUAUCGGGAGGAACACCAGUGGCGAAGGCGGCCUACUGGGCACCAACUGACGCUGAGGCUCGAAAGUGUGGGUAGCAAACAGGAUUAGAUACCCUGGUAGUCCACACUGUAAACGAUGAUUA